GUGGGGAAUAUUGGGCAAUGGGCGAAAGCCUGACCCAGCAACGCCGCGUGAAGGAAGAAGGUUUUCGGAUCGUAAACUUCUAUCCUUGGUGAAGAUAAUGACGGUAGCCAAGAAGGAAGCCCCGGCUAACUACGUGCCAGCAGCCGCGGUAAUACGUAGGGGGCAAGCGUUGUCCGGAAUGAUUGGGCGUAAAGGGCGCGUAGGCGGCCCGGUAAGUCUGAAGUGAAAGUCCUGCUUUUAAGGUGGGAAUUGCUUUGGAUACUGUCGGGCUUGAGUGCAGGAGAGGUAAGCGGAAUUCCCGGUGUAGCGGUGAAAUGCGUAGAGAUCGGGAGGAACACCAGUGGCGAAGGCGGCUUACUGGACUGUAACUGACGCUGAGGCGCGAAAGUGUGGGGAGCAAACAGGAUUAGAUACCCUGUAGUCC
This 424-nucleotide ribosomal RNA is filed under the name uncultured bacterium. Its description in RNAcentral is "partial 16S ribosomal RNA". It matches the Rfam family "Bacterial small subunit ribosomal RNA", at positions 354 to 796 of the family's 1533-position model. The record is from RNAcentral.